RNAcentral lists this ribosomal RNA (462 nucleotides) under uncultured Hydrogenophaga sp. RNAcentral's name for it is "bacterial SSU rRNA". It matches the Rfam family "Bacterial small subunit ribosomal RNA", at positions 917 to 1381 of the family's 1533-position model. The record is from RNAcentral. Lineage: Bacteria; Pseudomonadati; Pseudomonadota; Betaproteobacteria; Burkholderiales; Comamonadaceae.
GACGGGACCGCACAAGCGGUGGAUGAUGCGGUUUAAUUCGAUGCAACGCGAAAACUUACCCACCUUUGACAUGUACGGAAGUUGCCAGAGAUGGCUUCGUGCUCGAAAGAGAGCCGUAACACAGGUGCUGCAUGGCUGUCGUCAGCUCGUGUCGUGAGAUGUUGGGUUAAGUCCCGCAACGAGCGCAACCCUUGUCAUUAGUUGCUACGAAAGGGCACUCUAAUGAGACUGCCGGUGACAAACCGGAGGAAGGUGGGGAUGACGUCAAGUCCUCAUGGCCCUUAUAGGUGGGGCUACACACGUCAUACAAUGGCUGGUACAAAGGGUUGCCAACCCGCGAGGGGGAGCCAAUCCCAUAAAGCCAGUCGUAGUCCGGAUCGCAGUCUGCAACUCGACUGCGUGAAGUCGGAAUCGCUAGUAAUCGUGGAUCAGCAUGUCACGGUGAAUACGUUCCCGGGUCUU